CUUUCAAACACUAAAAUAUGAUACACAUUUUGUUACUAAUACUUUUACAAUGACAACAAUGUGUUAUAAUUCGAAAUUGACAUAUUUGACCUAGAUACCGAAACGUUCAUUUUGAUUGUUUUGACUUCAAAACCCCUCCCUCUGAAAAACACGUUUCAUCUAUCCUGUUUAAUAAAAAGGCAUGUAUAUAAUAAUUUCAUUGAAAAAUAUGAUCUGACGAUAAAGUAGAAAAUAAAGUAUAGGUUAAUAUAACUGUUGUACUGAAAUGACAAAAUUGUUUCAUAUUUAUGAUAAAAUGGAUUGACCCUAGCAGGGAAUCGAACCCCAUUCUCCUAUAAAAACAAAAUAGGCGUAAUUACCAAUAUACCACCAAGGUUUCCAAUCCAUUUUACAAAUGCAACAAGAUUUUCACUCAGUAUUAAUUUUAAUCAUCAUGUAAUACAGCAUUUGAAAUCGUCAGAUGCACCAGAGACAUAUGUAUAUAUGGACAUAUGUACAUAUGUCUCUUGAUGCACAAAGGCGUCCCCUUUCAUCAACUUUACAGGGUGUAGCUACCGCAACUAUAGUCCAAAUAAUUAUGACGUCUGGCAAGGCUAUUUUUUUUUUUCUGGGACGCCGUUGUAGGAAGGCGUCCCAGAAAAAAAUUAAAAUAGCCUUGCCAGACGUCGUAAUUAUUUGGACUACCGCAAGUAUAAAUGAAUCUCUGUCAAAGGGCCCUUCUGCCAAGUCUCGAAAGUCAGCACAAAUUUUUCAAGGAAUCCUCUAUCAGAUAUGAACAUAUUUACCAAAGCUACACUAACCGGCGGAACAUUUACAAUUAAUUUAGUAAAUAAAGAACCUACCCGAUUCUCCUUGUGCGUCCGCCGCCAUUGACAACUGACUUGAAAAUGUGCGUGUCAGAAAUUGACCUCAAAGAAAAAAGACGUUGAAUUAUAACUUUUCUGUUAUAUUGUGACACAAAUAUUGUUUAAGUUAAUAAAUUUGUUAAUUUCUGUUUCAAUUUUAAAUUUUAGAAAUACAACUUU
RNAcentral lists this long non-coding RNA (1025 nucleotides) under Mytilus galloprovincialis (Mediterranean mussel). Lineage: Eukaryota; Metazoa; Mollusca; Bivalvia; Mytilida; Mytilidae. The record is from RNAcentral.